AUUGUAUAAAUGUUGUGCAUGUGGCCAAGUGUGGUGUCCCAUGUUCGGAAUUUGUGCUCUGCAUUAAACCCAUCCAAGUGCACACACACACACA
This is a long non-coding RNA of Sinocyclocheilus anshuiensis, 94 nucleotides long. RefSeq lists it as uncharacterized. The transcript is spliced from 3 exons. The record is from RefSeq and is a predicted model, not a curated record. Lineage: Eukaryota; Metazoa; Chordata; Actinopteri; Cypriniformes; Cyprinidae.